GGGAGCUCCGAGUGGAAUGUGCUUUCCUAUGCUUGGAAUACCAUGUAAAUAACAUUAAAGAUGAAGAGACAUCAAGCAUCCACUGAAGGCUUUAAUCACUAAAAAUACUCUGUAGUCAAUGAAUAAAGUAGUCAUGCAUACCUA
Molecule: long non-coding RNA, 144 nt
Organism: Erpetoichthys calabaricus (reedfish)
Lineage: Eukaryota; Metazoa; Chordata; Cladistia; Polypteriformes; Polypteridae
Exons: 3
Source: RefSeq, a predicted model, not a curated record